AGUGAACGCUGGCGGUAGGCCUAACACAUGCAAGUCGAACGGCAGCACAAUAAGAGCUUGCUCUUACGGGUGGCGAGUGGCGGACGGGUGAGGAAUACAUCGUAAUCUACUUUUUCGGGGGGGUUAACGUAGGGAAACUUACGCUAAUACCGCAUACGCCCUACGGGUGAAAGCAGGGGAUCUUCGGACCUUGCGCGAUUGAAUGAGCCGAUGUCGGAUUAGCUAGUUGGCGGGGUAAGGGCCCACCAAGGCGACGGUCCGUAGCUGGUCUGGGAGGAUGAUCGGCCACACUGGAACUGAAACACGGUCCAGGCUCCUACGGGAGGCAGCAGUAGGGAAUAUUGGACAAUGGGCGGAAGCCUGAUCCAGCCAUACCGCGUGGGUGAAGAAGGCCUUCGGGUUGUAAAGCCCUUUUGUUGGGAAAGAAAAGCAGCAGGUUAAUACCCCGCUGUUCUGACGGUACCCAAAGAAUAAGCACCGGCUAACUUCGUG
RNAcentral lists this ribosomal RNA (492 nucleotides) under uncultured bacterium. RNAcentral's name for it is "partial 16S ribosomal RNA". It matches the Rfam family "Bacterial small subunit ribosomal RNA", at positions 29 to 507 of the family's 1533-position model. The record is from RNAcentral.